UACGUCCAGCAGGAAGAAGAUGCCGAUUAGGCUUAAUAGGGAAUUUGGUGUAAAUCCAAAACUGUUUCCGCAACUGUAAAGUGCUGAUGAAAUGAACGAUGCCACUGUCGAUAGUCGAUGGGAAGGGUUCAAAGUAAAUUGAUGCAUAAGUCAGGAGACCUGUCUUUUUCUGAUCGUAUCC
Molecule: non-coding RNA, 181 nt
Filed under: Caryophanon tenue
Lineage: Bacteria; Bacillati; Bacillota; Bacilli; Caryophanales; Caryophanaceae
Source: RNAcentral